ACGGCUGCUAAUACCCCAUAUGCCGCGAGGUGAAAUGAAUUUCGCCUGAGGAUGAGCUCGCGUCUGAUUAGCUAGUUGGUGUAGGUAAUGGCUCACCAAGGCAUCGAUCAGUAGCUGGUCUGAGAGGAUGAUCAGCCACACUGGGACUGAGACACGGCCCAGACUCCUACGGGAGGCAGCAGUGGGGAAUUUUCCGCAAUGGGCGAAAGCCUGACGGAGCAACGCCGCGUGAGGGAUGAAGGCCUCUGGGCUGUAAACCUCUUUUAUCAAGGAAGAAGAUCUGACGGUACUUGAUGAAUAAGCCACGGCUAAUUCCGUGCCAGCAGCCGCGGUAAUACGGGAGUGGCAAGCGUUAUCCGGAAUUAUUGGGCGUAAAGCGUCCGCAGGCGGCCCUUCAAGUCUGCUGUUAAAAAGUGGAGCUUAACUCCAUCAUGGCAGUGGAAACUGUUGGGCUUGAGUGUGGUANGGGCAGAGGGAAUUCCCGGUG
Molecule: ribosomal RNA, 487 nt
Filed under: uncultured bacterium
Lineage: Bacteria
Description: bacterial SSU rRNA
Rfam family: Bacterial small subunit ribosomal RNA
Source: RNAcentral